AGUGAAUAGAUACCCGGGUAGUCCACGCCGUAAACUAUGGAUGCCAGCAGUUUUCCGUAUCGACCCGGAAAAGUUGCGAAAGCUAAACGCGUUAAGCAUCCCGCCUGUGGAGUACGGUCGCAAGACUAAAACAUAAAGGAAUUGACGGGGACCCGCACAAGCGGUGGAGCGUGUUGUUUAAUUCGAUGGUAAGCGAAGAACCUUACCCAGGCUUGACAUCCUGCGAAUUUUUCGUAAAGAAAGAAAGUGCUUUUAGUAGCGCAGUGACAGGUGUUGCAUGGCCGUCGUCAGCUCGUGUCGUGAGAUGUUGGGUUAAGUACCCGCAACG
Molecule: ribosomal RNA, 328 nt
Filed under: uncultured bacterium
Lineage: Bacteria
Description: bacterial SSU rRNA
Rfam family: Bacterial small subunit ribosomal RNA
Source: RNAcentral